Non-coding RNA from Trametes meyenii, 100 nucleotides. The record is from the annotation of a GenBank genome assembly. Lineage: Eukaryota; Fungi; Basidiomycota; Agaricomycetes; Polyporales; Polyporaceae.
UCCCUGGUAGUAUAUCGGUUAGUACACGCGCCUGUCACUUCUGGGUUGUACAGACCGGUUUAGACCGCGCGAAAGCGGGGUUCGACUCCCCGCCAGGGAG